CCGGGACGCGGAGCUUGCGGUGAGCCGAGAUAGCGCCACUGCACUCCAGCCCGGGCGACAGAGCGAGACUCCAUCUAAAAAAAAAAAAAAAAAAACAACAACUGGCCCCUGUUCCUUGUUGGUUAAAAGUUCCUUCCAGGGACCAUUACCUCCUCUCACUUCCAAGCUGUGCGUGCAUGCCAAACAUUCUGCCGAGAUGUUCACAGAGAAGCUUGGGGAAAGAAAGUAGGAAACCGAAACCAAAGGUGCAGAGCUGAGGUGAAAGACGGUUUAGAUGCUCCGAUGUGAUGACUGAGCAGAACUGAUGAGGCUGAAAAAACUGAAGUAGUGCACAACAGGCUCCACGAUGCUCGUGAAUCCCACAUGAAGUGUUCUCAUUUCCCUUUAGCCUACCGAAAACACAGCCCCUUUCUCAGGCUCUCAGACAAUAAUAAACAAGGUGGGUGAGUGAUAACUUUACGAAGUCUGGUCUGUUUCCAGCUGGAAGGAGCCUCCUUCUCCUUGUUAGAGCUAGGUAGGAUUUAGGGGCUUAAGUCUGGUGUCAGAGCACUCUUUUCUCUUCCCAGAUACUUACUUUUUUUUUUUUUUACUCUUAUCUUGUUUCACUCAGGUGUGUCUCUUUACAUAUUCUCCUGUAUGUCUUUUUCACAUGUCUCGUGUAUGUCUUGAUUCACUCAGUGUCUCUUUACAUAUUCUUCUGUACCAACACAAGGUGGAUGUGAGGGUGUGUUGGUAUCUUGUCUUCCUGGCAGAGUUGAGAGACACCCAAAUUCCUCAUCCCAAGAACAUCCUUAUCCCUCUAGACGGGUCUUUCCCUCCUGAUGGGAUUGACUUGAUACAGAACAAG
This 847-nucleotide long non-coding RNA is filed under the name Homo sapiens (human). RNAcentral's name for it is "HSALNT0173777". The record is from RNAcentral. Lineage: Eukaryota; Metazoa; Chordata; Mammalia; Primates; Hominidae.